UCUCUCGUAGUCUAGUGGCUAAGACUCUGAGCUCCCAAUGCAGGAGACCCAAGUUCAAUCCCUGGUCAGGGAA
RNAcentral lists this transfer RNA (73 nucleotides) under Ovis aries (sheep). It matches the Rfam family "tRNA". From Rfam's summary of the family: Transfer RNA (tRNA) molecules are approximately 80 nucleotides in length. Their secondary structure includes four short double-helical elements and three loops (D, anti-codon, and T loops). Lineage: Eukaryota; Metazoa; Chordata; Mammalia; Artiodactyla; Bovidae. The record is from Rfam by way of RNAcentral.